UGGACCCCCAAAUUCAUCAUUACGAAUUUUUUUGCGAUAAAUAAAGAGAAAAAGAUGUCCUACGGUACAAUACUAGUCGAACUUACUCCCAAAAAAAUAAAGCUUUUGUAGAUCCUGAUAUCAUCAGAGAUGAUAUAGAAGAUGCCGAUGUGGAAGAGGAAGAUAGAGAGGACAUUUUCAAUGAAAAUUAUUCGAUUGCUUUACUAUCUUCGGCCACUUUACUCUGUCUUCUGUGCGUGUUAAUGGUGAAUGAAAGGUGCUGAUGAAGGAGAUGCAAAAUGAAGCGAUGAAGGGCAUGAAGAUAUAUCAUGGAAUCGAAAAGAUACAUCAUAUAAAAUAAUAUAAAUGCUAUGUAUCUCGAUUUUGUGAGAUACAUAAGAAUGAUGUAUCUGAUUGAGAAUAUGACAAACAAUAUUUAUCAUAAUUUUUUUGUGUGUUCUUGAUACAUAAAACUUAUGUAUCGGAAUGAGAUAUGUAUUACUGAUACAUAAAAAUUGAUUGAUUAGUUAUAUAUGGAAAAGUAAUGUAUUCGAAUGGUGAUGUAUUGUGACCCUAGGUAAUGUAUUCGGCAAUUCAAAAUGUGAAAUUUUAUGUAAUUUUGAAAAAACAGAAAUAAGAUUUAAUUAAAUACUAAACAAUUAAGACAAUUAAAUACCAUGAAUUUGAGGAAUAAAAAUUAAAUAUCACCCCAAAACAAAUACAUUUCUGCAAAUGACCUAAAUUUAGCUCAUUAAAUUUAAAUCUUAAUCCAAAUUUAAGGUAAGUGAAGGAUUUGUUGUGUAGUGCAAUUGUUGAUGUGGCCAGUGGCCAUGCCAUUAUCCUUGGCCCUGCCACACUGCAAGAGUAGCCCACUACGUCCAAAUGACUUGUUUUUAUAUGAAUUCUAUUUUAUACGGUCACACAGUCUUGGAUUCUCUAUCAACCCCCAGUAAAUAGCAGGCAAGAAACCACAGAGUCUUGCCAGUGUUUCCACUAAUAAUAGUCCUAGCCACAUCAGUGUUCUGCUGCCUUUGUCUUAGCUAAGUAAUGGGAAUUGUGGAACUCCUUAAAAUAAAGACAUAAAGGCGUUCCGUGCAUCGAGAAACCAAUAAGAUAUUCUGAUUAAAAAAAGAAGGUUGUGGGAGGUUGACCGUUAAAAUCUAAAAAUGAUCAUAGGUUGUGGGAGGUUGACCGUUAAAAUCUAAAAAUGAUCAUAAAAUAAAUAACCUCGAUAUAUAUCUUUCUUAGAGUCUUCAAAAAUGUUGGUCCGCCGGUAUUAGAUUCUCCAAAAUUGACUUGUUCUGAUGUAUGAUUACCUUAUCAAAUUCUUUUUUUUUUCUUUUCUCUCUCUUUACAUGUGUACAUAAAUGUGAUGAAAACCUUGUUCACCAUUAGGCAUCUACCAAACAUACUGCGAGUUACUCCGCCUACCUAGCGACAAGAACCAACAUAUUGCACAUAAUUAAUAUAAGCAUUUAUCCACUUAACAUCCAAGUUCCUUGUUUAUCUCAUACUUUGAGCAAUGAAAACUGGAACGAGAGUGAGAAAAUCCAUAACAGUAGCAGUUCUUCCAGUGGCGUUCCUAUUCCUGCUUUCUUUUGUAGCUUGUACAGGACCAUUAAGGUGGAUUCUUCUAUCAAGCUAUCUCAUCUACUACCUAUCUUUGUGUCUCUGGAUUUUGGCUGCAUUGCAUACUACAUGACAUUCGAUCUGUAUACCAUCAUGAAGGGACCAAAAUGAGUGAUUUCCAUCAUUCACCGACUCUAUUUUCUUGGUCUUGUUCUCGAGCUAUCUAUUACUUUUUGCUUUCCAGCAACCUCUUUGAAAGAAUCAACAAUCUCGUUGUGUAAUGAAGCAUGAAGAGGAUAACGUAUAAUAUUCAUUUUCAGCACGUUAAUUUAAACAACCCAUGUCUUCAAUGUUCUGGGCAUCUCCAUAUCACACCUGCUCUUUUAUUGGGGUUUUCAUGUAGUAUUGAGCAAGUUCGAAAGGUGCCAAAUUUUGUCUCAGGUAACUCGCAAAUGUAACUAAACUUUGAUUCAGAAUAUACGACAGCAUAAUCUCUGAGAUGUUUAAAGAUGUUACUAUCUUGGGAUAAAUAAGCAAUCAAGUUAUAAAGAAAACGAUGGAUGCUGUGACCCAUUGACAUUCGAAGUUUUUGCUUGAAAUCACUACUCGCAUGUUGUAGGGAUACUUGAGGACAAUGGAUGCUUAUCUUAGCAGAAUUCAGAGGCAACAAAGUGCACGAUUACUUCUCUCAAUUCAUAGAGUCAAAAUAGUUUUAAGAAGUUUUUACUUAACUGCAUACGCUCUUCUAGUUUAAUCAAAGAAUAAAAACUUAGAAGUGCAGUCACUUGUCAAAAACAUUACACAAAUACUAGAUUCAGCUGAAAAACUACGUUAAAUCCCACAUGUCAGUUCAACGAUGGAACAGAUAACCAAUAGAACGAAAUAAAAAAUUCUAAGAAUAUCCGCAUUAUGAUAGCAUCCAACAAGAACAGAAAUAUUUUACACUGGUAACAUCAAAAUAAUUGGAUGCGCAUAAACAAGAAAAGCAUUAUAUGACGAGCAGAAGAAAUUAACUGAUAAAACAAAUAAAUAUAUUAAGAUAAAACGAACAGCAGUACGACCAUUACAAUGCUAUGGUGAAAGAUACAUCAAAAGUUUCACCAUCUAAACUCCCGGGGAUAUUAUACAAUUCUCAUUUCUUGGUAGUUAGUGUUUUCUUGGCCUUCAAAAGCUAUCUACUAA
This is a long non-coding RNA of Capsicum annuum, 2730 nucleotides long. RefSeq lists it as uncharacterized. The record is from RefSeq and is a predicted model, not a curated record. Lineage: Eukaryota; Viridiplantae; Streptophyta; Magnoliopsida; Solanales; Solanaceae. The transcript has 2 exons.